This 211-nucleotide non-coding RNA is filed under the name Pongo abelii (Sumatran orangutan). The record is from RNAcentral. Lineage: Eukaryota; Metazoa; Chordata; Mammalia; Primates; Hominidae.
UUCACACCCCGCUACUCCUGAGUGCCACACACCGGCUUCCUCCCAGUCCCUCAUCUGAGAACUCAUGAAGCCACCUGGAAUCCCUUUCUGCUUUGCCUGGCUCAUUCCAUCUCAAUUUCAGAUCUUCGCUACAGGUCAGCUCCAAGGAGGAGCUCUCAAAACCUAGCUCUCAAAACCUAGCUCUUUUCCUUCAGAGCACUGGCCUCCAAUU